Molecule: unclassified non-coding RNA, 248 nt
Filed under: plant metagenome
Description: partial contains small subunit ribosomal RNA and internal transcribed spacer 1
Rfam family: Eukaryotic small subunit ribosomal RNA (bases 1-46)
Source: RNAcentral
AAGUCGUAACAAGGUUUCCGUAGGUGAACCUGCGGAAGGAUCAUUAUCGAGUUACUAUUGACUUUGAUGCUGGCCGCUUGCGGCAUGUGCUCGAGUCUUUAAAUCCACUCAACCACUGUGCACUAAUUCGAAAGCUUCGCGGUUCAGGCUCCUUCCUUCGGGAGGUCGAGUUCGGGCUUGCGGGGUUUUCGAGCUUCAUACAAACCACAUAUUGUCAUGUCGAAUGUAAUACUUUAUUAAAAAUACAA